GAUGAACGCUGGCGGCGUGCCUAAUACAUGCAAGUCGAGCGAACAGACGAGGAGCUUGCUCCUCUGACGUUAGCGGCGGACGGGUGAGUAACACGUGGAUAACCUACCUAUAAGACUGGGAUAACUUCGGGAAACCGGAGCUAAUACCGGAUAAUAUAUUGAACCGCAUGGUUCAAUAGUGAAAGACGGUUUUGCUGUCACUUAUAGAUGGAUCCGCGCCGCAUUAGCUAGCUGGUAAGGUAACGGCUUACCAAGGCAACGAUGCGUAGCCGACCUGAGAGGGUGAUCGGCCACACUGGAACUGAGACACGGUCCAGACUCCUACGGGAGGCAGCAGUAGGGAAUCUUCCGCAAUGGGCGAAAGCCUGACGGAGCAACGCCGCGUGAGUGAGGAAGGUCUUCGGAUCGUAAAACUCUGUUAUUAGGGAAGAACAAAUGUGUAAGUAACUAUGCACGUCUUGACGGUACCUAAUCAGAAAGCCACGGCUAACUACGUG
Molecule: ribosomal RNA, 497 nt
Filed under: uncultured bacterium
Lineage: Bacteria
Description: partial 16S ribosomal RNA
Rfam family: Bacterial small subunit ribosomal RNA
Source: RNAcentral